UACGUAGGGGGCGAGCGUUGUCCGGAUUUAUUGGGCGUAAAGAGCCCGUAGGCGGCUUAGCAAGUCGGGCGUGAAAUCCCUGGGCUCAACCCAGGAACUGCACUCGAAACUACUUUUCUUGAGUGCCGGAGAGGAAAGCGGAAUUCCUGGUGUAGAGGUGAAAUUCGUAGAUAUCAGGAGGAACACCAGUGGCGAAGGCGGCUUUCUGGACGGUAACUGACGCUGAGACGCGAAAGCGUGGGGAGCAAACAGG
RNAcentral lists this ribosomal RNA (253 nucleotides) under uncultured bacterium. Its description in RNAcentral is "partial 16S ribosomal RNA". It matches the Rfam family "Bacterial small subunit ribosomal RNA", at positions 524 to 776 of the family's 1533-position model. The record is from RNAcentral.